RNAcentral lists this ribosomal RNA (1601 nucleotides) under metagenome. Its description in RNAcentral is "bacterial LSU rRNA". It matches the Rfam family "Bacterial large subunit ribosomal RNA", at positions 1291 to 2925 of the family's 2925-position model. The record is from RNAcentral.
AGAAUGCCGGAAUGAGUAGCGAGAUGGAGGUGAGAAUCCUCCAGGCCGAAUAUCCAAGGUUUCCAGAGUAAAGCUGAUCUGCUCUGGGUAAGUCGGGACCUAAGGCGAGGCCGAGAGGCGUAGCCGAUGGACAACAGGUUGAGAUUCCUGUACUGCUGUAUAUCAGAACUGUGGGGACACAGAGGGAAAGCACAGGCGCGGAACGGAAAGCCGCGUGCAAGCGAGGUACCGGACUGGUAGGAAAAACCGCCAGCCAACGGGAAGACGUGAUGCGGACCGAAAUUUAGUAGGGAAGUGUGUGAGCCAGCUGUCAAGAAAAGCCGCUAUUGUGUAUACAGUACCCGUACCGUAAACCGACACAGGUGGAUGAGGAGAGAAUCCUAAGGCCGGCGGAAGAAGUAUUGUCAAGGAACUCGGCAAAAUGACCCUGUAACUUCGGGAGAAAGGGUGCCUCGAAAGAGGCCGCAGAGAAUUGGCCCAAGCAACUGUUUAGCAAAAACACAGGUCUAUGCGAAACCGAAAGGUGAGGUAUAUGGGCUGACGCCUGCCCGGUGCUGGAAGGUUAAGGGGAGAUGUUAGAGCAAUCGAAGCAUCGAACUUAAGCCCCAGUAAACGGCGGCCGUAACAAUAACGGUCCUAAGGUAGCGAAAUUCCUUGUCGGGUAAGUUCCGACCCGCACGAAAGGCGUAAUGAUUUGGGCGCUGUCUCGACAAUACAUCCGGUGAAAUUGAAGUACCAGUGAAGAUGCUGGUUACCCGCGCCAGGACGGAAAGACCCCAUGGAGCUUUACUCCAGCUUGAUACUGGGAUUCGGUAUUGCAUGUACAGGAUAGGUGGGAGGCUAAGAAGCAUGGACGCCAGUCUAUGUGGAGCCGCUGUUGGGAUACCACCCUUGCGGUAUUGGAUUUCUAACCAGCCGCCGUGAAACCGGCGGUGGGACAAUGUCAGGCGGGGAGUUUGACUGGGGCGGUCGCCUCCGAAAGGGUAUCGGAGGCGCCCAAAGGUUCCCUCAGAAUGGUUGGAAACCAUUCGAAGAGUGCAAAGGCAGAAGGGAGCUUGACUGUGACACCGACGGGUGGAGCAGGUACGAAAGUAGGGCUUAGUGAUCCGGUGGUAUUAAGUGGGAAUGCCAUCGCUCAACGGAUAAAAGCUACCCUGGGAUAACAGGCUUAUCACUCCCAAGAGUUCACAUCGACGGAGUGGUUUGGCACCUCGAUGUCGGCUCAUCGCAUCCUGGGGCUGUAGUAGGUCCCAAGGGUUGGGCUUUCGCCCAUUAAAGCGGUACGCGAGCUGGGUUCAGAACGUCGUGAGACAGUUCGGUCCCUAUCCGGCGUGGGUGCAGGAUAUUUGAGAGGAGCUGUCCUUAGUACGAGAGGACCGGGAUGGACUGACCUCUGGUGCACCGGUUGUUCCGCCAGGAACAUAGCCGGGUAGCCAAGUCGGGAAGGGAUAAACGCUGAAGGCAUCUAAGCGUGAAGCCCCCCUCAAGAUGAGAUAUCCCAUGCGAAAGCGAUAAGACCCCUUGAAGACGACGAGGUAGAUAGGUCAGAGGUGGAAGUGCAGUAAUGCAUGGAGCUGACUGAUACUAAUAGGUCGAAGGCU